CCAAUAGCGUAUAUUAAAGUUGUUGCAGUUAAAAAGCUCGUAGUUGAAUUUCGGGAUCAAUGGGUUGGUCAUGCCCUCGGUAUGUACUGAUUUCAUUGGUUCUCACCUUCUAAGGAACCAUGAUGUCAUUCGUUUGAUGUUGUGGGGAAUUAGGACUGUUACCUUGAAAAAAUUAGAGUGUUUAAAGCAGGCUAACGCUUGAAUACAUUAGCAUGGAAUAAUGAAAUAGGACAUCCGAUUCUAUUUUGUUGGUUUCUAGGAUCGAUGUAAUGAUUAAUAGGGAUAGUUGGGGGCAUUAGUAUUCAAUUGUCAGAGGUGAAAUUCUUGGAUUUAUUGAAGACUAACUACUGCGAAAGCAUUUGCCAAGGAUGUUUUCAUUAAUCAAGAACGAAAGUUAGAGGAUCGAAGACGAUCAGAUACCGUCGUAGUCUUAACCAUAAACUAUGCCGACUAGGGAUCGGAUGAUGCUUAUUUUUUAAUGACUCAUUCGGCACCUUACG
RNAcentral lists this ribosomal RNA (500 nucleotides) under uncultured Glomeromycotina. RNAcentral's name for it is "partial small subunit ribosomal RNA". It matches the Rfam family "Eukaryotic small subunit ribosomal RNA", at positions 591 to 1092 of the family's 1831-position model. Lineage: Eukaryota; Fungi; Glomeromycota. The record is from RNAcentral.